GAUGAACGCUGGCGGCGUGCCUAAUACAUGCAAGUCGAACGAUCAAACGCCUUGCUUUUUGGUCUGAGUGUAUCGGCGGACAAGUGGGUAGCAAGUCGAUAGCAACCUGAUCCCACUUGCUGAACUACGGCAAGAAGGAGCGAAUACCACAGAAUAUAUUGGACCUGAUGGUUCAAUAGUGAAAGACGGAUUUUCUUUCGCUUGGAGAUGGGUCCGCGGCGCAUUAGCUAGUUGGUAAGGUAACGGCCUACCAAGGCGACGAUGCGUAGCCGACCUGAGAGGGUGAUCGGCCACACUGGAACUGAGACACGGUCCAGACUCCUACGGGAGGCAGCAGUAGGGAAUCUUACGCAAUGGGCGGAAGCUUGGUGAAGCAGCGCCGCGGCGGGGAUGAAGGUCUUCGUAUCGUAAAGCUCUGUUAUCGGGGAAGAACAAGUGCGUAAGUAAUUAUGCACGUCUUGACGGUACCUAAUCAGAAAGCCACGGCUAACUACGUG
This 497-nucleotide ribosomal RNA is filed under the name uncultured bacterium. RNAcentral's name for it is "partial 16S ribosomal RNA". It matches the Rfam family "Bacterial small subunit ribosomal RNA", at positions 28 to 507 of the family's 1533-position model. The record is from RNAcentral.